GCGGGAGUAGUACAGGGGUAGUACGUCUCCUUGCCAAGGAGAAGGUCGCGAGUUCGAAUCUCGUCUCCCGCUCCA
Molecule: transfer RNA, 75 nt
Filed under: Pseudomonadota bacterium
Lineage: Bacteria; Pseudomonadati; Pseudomonadota
Also listed under: 1 other name
Description: tRNA-Gly
Rfam family: tRNA
About the family: Transfer RNA (tRNA) molecules are approximately 80 nucleotides in length.
Source: RNAcentral